Daucus carota subsp. sativus is the source of this 94-nucleotide non-coding RNA. NCBI's taxonomy places the organism in Eukaryota, Viridiplantae, Streptophyta, Magnoliopsida, Apiales, Apiaceae. The record is from Rfam.
UCUGGGUAGAUGAUGAACACAUGUAUUGACAAAUGGGUAAUUUGCAUCUGAUUUACUGUGAUGCUAAACUCACCUUGGAGAACUGAUACUGCCC